Molecule: ribosomal RNA, 301 nt
Filed under: uncultured bacterium
Lineage: Bacteria
Description: partial 16S ribosomal RNA
Rfam family: Bacterial small subunit ribosomal RNA
Source: RNAcentral
CAGUCGCCGCGGUAAUACGUAGGUGGCAAGCGUUGUCCGGAAUUAUUGGGCGUAAAGCGCGCGCAGGCGGAUCAGUCAGUCUGUCUUAAAAGUUCGGGGCUUAACCCCGUGAGGGGAUGGAAACUGCUGAUCUAGAGUAUCGGAGAGGAAAGUGGAAUUCCUAGUGUAGCGGUGAAAUGCGUAGAUAUUAGGAAGAACACCAGUGGCGAAGGCGACUUUCUGGACGAAAACUGACGCUGAGGCGCGAAAGCCAGGGGAGCGAACGGGAUUAGAUACCCCGGUAGUCCCUGUCUCUUAUACA